RNAcentral lists this ribosomal RNA (183 nucleotides) under Limnonectes fujianensis (Fujian large-headed frog). Its description in RNAcentral is "partial 16S ribosomal RNA". Lineage: Eukaryota; Metazoa; Chordata; Amphibia; Anura; Dicroglossidae. The record is from RNAcentral.
GCCUAAAUUUAAGCCUAUGUACUCUUAUGAAAAACAUACCCUACUAAGGAUAAAUAAAACAUUUUAUCAGUUUAGUAAAGGCGAUUAAAAAACUUCCUAGCGCUUUAUCUCAAGUACCGCAAGGGAAAAAUGAAAUAGUUCUGAAAUAGCCCUAAAGCAAAACACAGCAGANACACCCCCUCG